Molecule: ribosomal RNA, 198 nt
Filed under: uncultured bacterium
Lineage: Bacteria
Description: partial 16S ribosomal RNA
Rfam family: Bacterial small subunit ribosomal RNA
Source: RNAcentral
ACGCUCGACACCUACGGGAGACAGCAGUGGGGAAUAUUGCACAAUGGGGGAAACCCUGAUGCAGCGACGCCGCGUGAAGGAAGAAGUAUCUCGGUAUGUAAACUUCUAUCAGCAGGGAAGAAAAUGACGGUACCUGACUAAGAAGCCCCGGCUAACUACGUGUCAGCAGCCGCGGUAAUCUGAGCGGGCUGGCAAGGC